GACGAACGCUGGCGGCGUGCUUAACACAUGCAAGUCGAACGAUGAAGCCGGAGCUUGCUCUGGUGAAUUAGUGGCGAACGGGUGAGUAACACGUGAGUAACCUGCCCUUGACUCUGGGAUAACUGCUAGAAAUGGUAGCUAAUACCGGAUACGACCCUCGGAGGCAUCUCCAGGGGGUGGAAAGAAUUUCGGUCAAGGAUGGACUCGCGGCCUAUCAGCUAGUUGGUGAGGUAAUGGCCCACCAAGGCGACGACGGGUAGCCGGCCUGAGAGGGUGACCGGCCACACUGGGACUGAGACACGACCCAGACUCCUACGGGAGGCAGCAGUGGGGAAUAUUGCACAAUGGGCGCAAGCCUGAUGCAGCAACGCCGCGUGAGGGAUGACGGACUUCGGGUUGUAAACCUCUUUUAGUAGGGAAGAAGCGAAAGUGACGGUACCUGCAGAAAAAGCACCGGCUAACUACGUGCCAGCCGCCGCAGUAA
RNAcentral lists this ribosomal RNA (484 nucleotides) under uncultured bacterium. RNAcentral's name for it is "partial 16S ribosomal RNA". It matches the Rfam family "Bacterial small subunit ribosomal RNA", at positions 28 to 523 of the family's 1533-position model. The record is from RNAcentral.